This 448-nucleotide ribosomal RNA is filed under the name uncultured bacterium. RNAcentral's name for it is "bacterial SSU rRNA". It matches the Rfam family "Bacterial small subunit ribosomal RNA", at positions 28 to 496 of the family's 1533-position model. The record is from RNAcentral.
GACGAACGCUGGCGGCGUGCUUCAUACAUGCAAGUCGAACGAGAAUCUUAACUUCGGUUGAGAGGAAAGUGGCGGACGGGUGAGUAAUAUGUAGAGAAUCUGCCCUUGAGUGGGGGACAACAGAGGGAAACUUCUGCUAAUACCCCAUAUGAGCCAAGCUGAAAUGCUUGUCUUGAAAACUCCGGUGCUCAAGGAUGAGUCUGCAUCUGAUUAGCUAGUUGGCGGUGUAAUGGACCACCAAGGCGACGAUCAGUAGCUGGUUUGAGAGGAUGAUCAGCCACAAUGGGACUGAGACACGGCCCAUACUCCUACGGGAGGCAGCAGUAGGGAAUUUUGCGCAAUGGGCGAAAGCCUGACGCAGCAACGCCGCGUGAUUGAUUAAGCCCUCGGGUGUAAAGAAUCUGUCAGUAGGGACGAAACUUGACGGUACCUACAGAGGAAGCACCGG